Molecule: long non-coding RNA, 231 nt
Filed under: Ananas comosus (pineapple)
Lineage: Eukaryota; Viridiplantae; Streptophyta; Magnoliopsida; Poales; Bromeliaceae
Description: long non-coding RNA (ACOM_LNC036523)
Source: RNAcentral
GAAAAUCGGCGGAGAACUUAGCGACGGCAAUUACGCCUCAACCGCUAUUGCAAAAGGAAAUGCAACGAUUUGGGUUGGAAGUGGUAGCGCCGGGAGUGCCGGCUACACUUGCCACACUAGUUGUGCAACCGACCCUAUUUGAGAGAAUCAAAGAGUUACAAGCUUCGGAUCUUUAUCUCCAAAAGGUUCGAGAUGAUGUUGAGAACGGUAAAGCGAGGAUUUUAGCGUUGG